GUACCCCCUCCUACAGCAGCAACACGAAGGCGGAGACGUCGCCGACAUCUCCGAGCAAUGAGGACACGUGACGUGAACAAUCCUCAGGAGGGUCCGGGCAACGAAAACUUGAGGCACGCACGCGGCUGCUAAUGCAGUCACCUUUUUGUUAGUAUACAGACUCUUAACGUUAGAUGGCGCACGGAGACCACUCUAACCAAAAACCUCAUUGACUUAACCAAACUUUGUGUAAUUUAAAGCCUGCAAAUGCAUCUAUUUGCAUAUUGAAUAUUCACAUUCUAUAUCGUGCGUGAUAAUACAUUUCGAGAAUUUUGCCUCUUGGUUAGAAACAACGAUUGCCAUUAAAUCUUGCCAACGAAGAAGAAAAUAUCCACGUCGGCACCUGUUAGUAACGUCAUACACCACCUGAAGUCACACGCUCAAGGCCAAGACAAGUCAACCCAUGUAGUUGUCCUGCAGGUAACACAAAUAAUAAGGUGGAGGAGCACCAAAGAGCUAAGGAGGAACAGGCAGUGGCAGAGGACAUGAGCAGAAUAAGGGGGGAAACUGUAUAAAUGCGGCACGCAAGGCCGUCACACUUAAUGACUCAGAGUAGGAGGAAGAGUCCAAGUGUUGUGAAGAGUCUGCGAAAAGCCCAUCAAUCAUAGCCCAGUCACAGCUUCAGAACUACUGGUGCAAAAUCCCUGCAGAGAAGCUCUACAAAUUAGCAUCCUGUCUCUAGUGAAUACGUGGCUCAUAAAUCAUUGGAGAUGAUUGCCCUGCAUCAAAGUAUCCUUACUGCGGGUAUCACAGCAAGUGGUCAAUGAAAGUCAUGUUGGGCUAAAGCACCCUAAUUGACAAUUGGUGCUAAUUAGCCUUGAAAUUCUAAAUUAGCA
This is a long non-coding RNA of Corythoichthys intestinalis (scribbled pipefish), 875 nucleotides long. RefSeq lists it as uncharacterized. The transcript is spliced from 3 exons. Lineage: Eukaryota; Metazoa; Chordata; Actinopteri; Syngnathiformes; Syngnathidae. The record is from RefSeq and is a predicted model, not a curated record.